MicroRNA precursor from Gadus morhua (Atlantic cod), 59 nucleotides. Ensembl annotates it as gmo-mir-17-1. Its record names the gene gmo-mir-17-1. Lineage: Eukaryota; Metazoa; Chordata; Actinopteri; Gadiformes; Gadidae. The record is from Ensembl.
CAAAGUGCUUACAGUGCAGGUAGUACUAUGCAACGCUACUGCAGUGGAGGCACUUCUAG